UGUCAGCAGUAAGCUCACUCUCCAAGUUACAAGGCCAUUCUCAGCACACACUGACAACAUGCUGGGGACCCUCUGCACUCUCAUCACUGCUCUAACAUGUGUGAGUGGUGUGACGGUGGUGACACAGAAGCCUCCUGUUGUGACGCUGAGGAAAGGAGAGACAGCCACCAUGGACUGUAACCUGGGGACUGUUACUAACAGUGCUGCUCGCUGGUACAAACAGACUCCAGGAGGAGUUCCUCAGUAUAUACUGAGGUUUUAUCAUACAAACAGUGCUCCAACCUAUGGCUCUGGUUUCUCCUCUCCCAAGUUCACAUCUAAUCAUCAGUCAACAUCAGAUUAUCGUUUGAUCAUCAACAAUGUGGAGGAGGGAGACUCAGCAGUCUAUUACUGUAACACAUGGGACGACUCUGCUAAGGAGCACGUAUCACAGUGAUUUACACUGUGACAAAAACCUCUCACUGAACACUUCUGCUUUUUGAGACUCUCACAUAUUGUUACUAUGACUGAAGCUUUCAGCCCAUAUGUCCUGUAACUCCUGCA
Molecule: non-coding RNA, 543 nt
Organism: Seriola aureovittata
Lineage: Eukaryota; Metazoa; Chordata; Actinopteri; Carangiformes; Carangidae
Source: the annotation of a RefSeq genome assembly